Molecule: long non-coding RNA, 1069 nt
Organism: Pogoniulus pusillus (Red-fronted tinkerbird)
Lineage: Eukaryota; Metazoa; Chordata; Aves; Piciformes; Lybiidae
Exons: 3
Source: RefSeq, a predicted model, not a curated record
CUGGCAGCCCUUACACCUGAGCCGUUCAGCUAAUCGGGAGAGCUUCCCGCAGCAGUAACCAUCAAACUGUGGUUUAGAUGAAUUAACAUCCUCCUGCCACCCUUAUUCGGGAAGGCAAAGCAUUCCUUUUGCCGUCUCUUUGCUGCGCUGGAGGGGAGCACGUUUGGAGGGGUGCUUGUUGUUGUUGGGGGGUGUACUAAUGAUCUUCUGAUCAGCUAAAGCUCAUAAAUACAAGAAACAGUAUUUCUCCUUAAUAACACCGUGCCGUCUAUUAGGAAGACGCAGGGAGGGCCUGUUAGACCUUUGAUGUGCUGGGCGCUGCAUGCCGUGCAUUCUCUGCUUCCAAACUCGCAGGCACUGCCGGCUUCAUUGCAGCCUGCCUGCCUCUUUGUGUGGACAGCCAGAUAGAGUGAUGCUUGGCGCUGAUGAGCUAUAUCAGAAACACAUGCAAGCAAUUAAAGGUGCUGGCCAUCAAAAUACUGAGGAUAAUGUUGCUGUGUGGUUAAAAAACAACAACCAAAAAAGAAGCAAGCCAACUAACUGCUCAGUUCCAAGUUUCUUACCUUAAAACUUCCUCUAAAUCAUAAUGGAGAAAUGAACAUCGGUGAACCAACAUAAUUAGCAUGCCUCCUAAACAGAUGAUAUAGUUAUAUACUUGUUAGUAUUAGGAGAUCCUACAAAUUUCAUUUAUCAAGAUACAGCCCAGUAGGCAUUUUGCAGUGAAAAGGGCGCCUGUGAAUCCCCAGUACACCACUCAGAUCACCCCCUGAGGGGAAAAGCAACUUGCAUUCAAAUCAAACGUUUUCCUAUCAAAUGCUCUACUAAUGGCUUUCCUAUGAGACCCAAGCCUGUCACUCACCUACUACCUAUUUAGACAUGUUAAAACAGAAUUCCUUGUUUAUUUGUAUUUCAUUGAAGUGAGUCUGUUUUCUCCUAUUGAAUUUGUAUCCAAACCCCAGGUUGUCAAUACUACUUAGUUAGAGCGGCUGUUUGUUGUGUUUUUCUUCGCAUUUCAGCCAGGGGUAGGGAGGAAAAAAAAAAAAAACAAAACCACCAAAAAAAAAAACCA